RNA transcript from Cavia porcellus (domestic guinea pig), 16824 nucleotides. It is a transcript of the gene named rab11 family-interacting protein 4-like, with no coding region annotated. The record is from RefSeq and is a predicted model, not a curated record. The transcript is spliced from 4 exons. NCBI's taxonomy places the organism in Eukaryota, Metazoa, Chordata, Mammalia, Rodentia, Caviidae.
GCGCGGGGCUCGCGGUAGCUGCGGGCCCGGCGCGGAUGGCGGGCGGCGCGGGCUGGGCGGGCGCCCCCGCGGCUCUGCUGCGCUCCGUGCGCCGCCUGCGCGAGGUGUUCGAGGUGUGCGGCCGCGACCCCGACGGCUUCCUGCGCAUGGAGCGCAUCGCGGCGCUCGGACUGCGCUUCGGCCGCGGCGAGGAGCUUUUCCUGGACAUGGCUGGAAGCAACCAGGCAGUAUGCUUCCUUGUUUACAUGGAGAGCAGGUGACACAAGGUCUCCCCUUGGGCGCCCGAGCUCCUGCUCCUCAAGAUUGCUGACAGCUAUUAGGAAACACCGAUGCCACUUGGCUGAAGCCUGGGUGUUUGGCCCAGCAAAGGGAUGGGCUGCUGUAAUGAACAGAGAGCCAGCCCAAGUCAGAAGCCAGCCCGGCAGCCUUCGGAGAUACAGGAACUUCUGGAGAAGGAGAACCCAGAGGUACAGCUGGAUUCUGCUCAGAAGGGGCAGAGAUUGGAUGCUAAAGAAGAGAGGACUGUGUCCCCCACAUCUGUGGCCAGCGGAGAAAGCAGGGAAGGCAGAGGCCAGACCAGCUGCUCUCCUAGGGGGGAGAAGACCCAGGCAGCCACACCAAGUAUGCAAAUAGAGAAGGGGCUGGGAAGACACCUCAGGGCUGUGACACUUGAGACCCAGUACAGAAUGGCGGUGCUGGCCAAACAGAAGGAAAGCCCAGGGCCUGGCAGAAAAGCAGAUGUGCCCGUGACCUGCUGGGGAGAGUGGAGCAAAAAUGGGCACACAGAGACGUUCUCAUGCCUGCGUUUCCACCUCUCCGCAUUCCUGUGCUCACGGGCUUGCAGGUCAUCGUGGGGGCCCAGAAAAGGCAGCAUUCUUUUGGGGCAGAGGCUCCCCCACUCUGGGAUCCUGCAGACAUCCCUGCUGCCUCCAGUCCCAGGAGCAUCCCCUGGGCCAUCCUGUGGCUGGGACCUUCCAGGCACAGGGCCUUUCUGCUGCCCCUGGGGACAUCUAUGAACAGAAAGCAAGAGGGAAAGCGAGGAGCCGUCCCCUCCCUCACCUGCCGCUGCCUUCGUGUCCCCCACUUCCUUUCAUCCUUUUCACCCCGGAGGGUCUGACAGGUGAGGCGGCUUGUGCUGGGGUCCCCCAGACAGUGGAGGAGCUAUGAUUUGAAACUGGCCUGUCUGGGUCAAAAGCUGUGUGCUAAGCUGCCUGCAUUUGGGGAGCCCAGGCACUUUGAAAGUCAGAGAGGCAGAGAAAGCUCAAGACAGAGGCUUCUUCUGUCUCCCUGAGCCUUGGUGGUGCUGGGGAAACGGGCACCGCCUCCGCGGAAGGCACCAAGGGCCUGCAGGACCCGAGUGGAGCUGAGGGGGCGCCUGGGAGCUCACCUGCAUUCUGCCUCUCUACUUCCUGUUCGGAUAGUGGUUAAGUAGGCCCAGGAGUCGCUCGCAAUUCUUGGCUGCUCUGUUCUGUAAUCCUGGGCGGGCCAGGCUGUGUGGCGCUGGGGUCGAACACACUGAUUAUUCUCUGACAACCUGGCCUGUCCACCGGAGCUCUGACCACAUCCUCCAGCUGCUGCACCUCCCCUGGCCCCACUGCCAGUCUUUCCAGCCACAGGCCCUGUGGCCACGGUGGGCACCAGCAACCUUUUACUGUCUGUGCCAUGCUCCCCUCUGCCUUCUUCAACACCCCAGUUCAGGCCAGGCUGGCUGUCAUGUUGGGAACUGGGGUUCUACCUCAGGUUCAGGUUUGAGACCCAGCCCCAGAAUCUAAUUUUCUGAAGUUACUGAGCAUCUCUGUGCCUCAGUCCCCUCAUCUGUAAAGUGGGGGUGAUGCGGGUGGUAUGUGUAAAGCCCUCACUGCCCCACCUGAAGCACAGGAAGUGCUAUAAGCCAGUGUGACCACGAGCACAAUCUGGCUUUCUGGAUACGCUCACCAUGCAUCACAGAUUUGCCAUUUCCUUUUGGGGGAAAACACUGAAAAUCCCUCCUUUAGCAAGUCUGAAGUAUACACUACCUAUUAUUGCCUCCUGUCACCUUGCUGUGCAGGCAGUCACCAGGCCUGCGGGACAGGGACAGUCGGUGGCUUUGAGCAGCUCCCCCAGCUUCUGGGAAGCGCUUUCCACUCUGGGAUGGAGAUCAGCAACACACCUGUGGGCAGCGCAGGCCAGUCUCGUCCAGGUGUCCCUUGGAGCAUGAGGACAGGGAGUCCCCUGUGCUCAGGGAAGGGCCGUCCUGGCCAGAGGUGACACUGGGGCUCAGGCUGGAAUGGGGUCCUGCUCAAGCUGGAACGCUCUGCCAUUGAGCUGCACCCCAGGCCCCUCGUCCCCUCACCCCUCACAGUGGACACACAUUCUUAUUUCUCCAGUGUGUUAUAAUCUAUUUCAUUAUCUGUUCCAAUGCUCAAAGGUAUUUUGUUUUGUUUCAGUGGAAUGUGGCAGGAGGGAAGGACGGGUGCCCUUGAGGACCUGCCCCCUGGCAGGAGGGACGGCAGGGAGGCAGGGAGAGACUGACCAGGCCAGAAGCAGGGCCAGCUAAGCAGAGGGGCCAGGCAGCUCUGGGGAGCUGGAAAUGAGCCCAUCAGCAAGAAGCCUGGAGGAUGGGGCAGGACGGGUGGGGCAGCUUCCUGGCCUCUGCAGAAUUUCACUGGAGCCCUGUGAUUCUUGCCUAGGUAACUGGGUCAGGUCGUGGGCCCUUAGUUGGUACAGGGGUAACCACUGGCUCUAGAUGUCCUCAUGCAUGGUGAGCCCACAGUUCAGAGGCCUGCCCUUACUCAGAAAGUCUCUAUUUCAAAACAAAAACUGCCAAACAUUAUUGUCGAUGUAGAAAUUUCAGCUGGGCACAGUGGUGCAUCCCUAUAAUCCCAGUACUCAGGAGGCUGAAGCAGGAGGAUCACCUCAAGUUGGAGGCCAGCCUACAUAGUGAGUUCAAGGCCAGCCUAAACUCCAAUAGGAGACCUUGUCUCAAAAAAAAAAAAAAAAAAAAAAAAAGGAGGAAAAAAAGAAAAAAGAUAUUUAGAUUCCUUGUAGGAAAAGAAAGCUAACUGGCCCUGAACGAGAUUUCUGUGGCUUACCGUCCACAUCUUGCCCUUGACAGUGUUCACCAUGUGGCUAUGAUCAGUGAGAGCUGUUGGGCCUCUGUCCACCUACUACUGUUUCCGGUGUGAGAAUCUCAGGCCCCAGGACUGUCCCCAACCCUCACCCCAGUCACUGCUCCCAUUUAGGGUUCCCUCUGCCCACAAACUCAGCCCACCUGGCAGGGUCCUGGGGCAGGUGCUCAGUCCUGGCUCCCAGUGGAUUCUGCAGGGCCCACUGCUGAGCUGGUGCAUGCAGAGUGGACCCCAUGGGAAGCCCCUGCUGGUGGAAAGGUGAGGGUGUGUGGAGCUGGAGUCAGAGGUGGAGAGAGGAGUCUGGACAGCCCCCGCCAGGCUGAACCUCGCUCAGGGCCCUCUCUCCCCUGGACCCACUCCCUGUCCCUUGGCCUCUGCUCCCAGCCUAGGUACCAGCAGAGCACUGGCCUCUGGUGUGUGUGUGUCUCAGAAUCACUGACCUUUGGGGUCCAGCCCCCUUUUCUGGCAUCAUCUGGACUGUCCUCUGUGUCUCCCACCCUCCUGAGGCCUGAGCAUGCCUGUUUCUCCUUAUCCCUGGUCAAUGUGAAGAGUACUCUGCAUUCAUUUAAUAGGCCUGAGGUGGUAUUUCAAACCAUUUUUGUCUUCAAGGUACUGGGAUUGAACCCAGGUCUUUUGCACUAAACCACAUCCCCAGUCCUUUAAUUUUUGAGACAGGACCUCAGUAAGUCACUAAAUUACCCAGGCUGGGUUUAAACUUGUGAUCCUCCUACCUCAGUUUCCCAGAGUGCUAGGUUUAUAGGUUUGCAUACCUGGCUUAUGUAUUUAUUUUGCAGUGCUAUGGAGACUACAUUUUUUUUCUGUGUUGCUCUUUACUCCUUGUUGGUAGGUUGAGUUUUGGUCCUGGGGAUCAACCGUGCAUACUAACAAUGUGCUCCGCCACUGAGCUACAUGCCAGGCCCCUCAUCCCCUCUCUGUGGACUCAUGGAUUCCUGUUUCUCCAGUGUGUCAUAAUCUAUUUCAUUAUUUGUUUCCAUGCUCAAGGGUAUUUGUGUUUUGUUUCAAUAACACCUUUCUCUAUUUUCCCUAUAUUUUAUUAGUUAAUUUUAAAAGAUACUGAGUUUUAUAUUGGCAUUUGAUUUUUUAAAAAUUUGUUUAAUUUUUGUUUUUUUGAGACAGGGUCUCACUGGGCAGUUCAGGCUGGCCUUGAGCUCACUUUAGAGCCCAGGCUGGUCUCAAACUUGUAAGGAUACUCCUGCUUCAGCCUCCUGAGUGCUGGGAUUACAAGUGUGCAUCACCACGCCUGGCUAAUAUUUUUACAAAUUUUAAUGGUCUAAAUUAAUGUUUCAUAUUUAGUGUGUUUUGUUACUACUAAGGUUAAAGUACUUUUCCAUUGAUUUUUUUUUCCUAGCUACAUGUCACUAAGAAUAUAAGAAUCUAACUGAGUUUUGUAAAUUGACCUCUGUCUCACUGCUGCCACAGUGGGGAUCUUGUCAGGACACGCCCAAAAGGAGCACUAAGAUCAAGGGUUUAUUGAAAGCAAAAGAACCCUCCAUAAGGAGAAGAGUUCACAGUCCUGAGGAGGUUUGAUGUUGAAGAAUUUAGACAUUAGGGUAGAGUCAGGUAUGGCAGUGCACCCCUAUAGACACAGAACUCAGGAGGCUGAGCAGGAGGGUUGCUGUGAGUUUAAGGCCAGCCUGGGCUACAUUGUGAGUCCAAGGCCUGUCUGAACUACAUAGUAAAACACUGUCUCAAAAAUCAGUAAACAAAGCGGGCAUGGUGGCUCACACCUGUAAUCCCAGCACUCAGGAGGCUGAGGCAGGAGGAUCCUUGCGAGUUCGAGACCAGCCUGCACUACAAAGUGAGCUCAAGGCCUGCCCAAACUGCAUAGAGACCCUGUCUUUUUUUUUUUUUUUUUUUUUUUUUUACCGGUACCGGGAAUUGAACUCACAACCGCCUGCUUGCAAGGCAGGUGCUUAUGCUACUGAGCUAAAUCCCCAGCCCCCGAGACCCUGUCUUAAAAAAAAAAAAAGACAAAAAAAAAUCAGUAAACAAAAUAAACAUGAGGAUUUGAGGCAGAACUGAGAGAUUGGUCUGGGACUUUACUCUUACUGAUGAGCAGGGACUCUGUCAGUUAUUUGGGUGAUGCAUUUUUUCACUAACCCUUGGAGUGGUGCCCAAAGCCCAUGGUGGGGUGGGGAUGGGGAGCUUGCAACUGCCUUGCUAAUGUUAGGCAUGGCAAGUGGGUCCAGGUUUGGCUAAAGGUGGCUGAAGACACUGUGUGCACCUCUAUAGACUGUGUGUGAGCUGGGUUAGCUGGUGACUUUCUCUUUUUGUAUUUAAACCUGAAUAUCUUGGAUCUGGGUUAAAGUUUAACUCAGAGAGCGAAUGCAGCCCACCAGCCUUUCCCUACCUGCCUUUACCUACCGUGAGAGACAUAAUCCUCAUCAGUCACUCUGAGAUGCCAGGGGACUGCAGGUCUCUUCUGAAACUGCUUCCGGCAGAGAGGGACACUGUUCCCGCCUACAGAUUGUGGAACUCUCACCCUGACUGACCUAAGGGUUGGUGCACCAGUGUGUAGGAUUUGAUAAUAUGGGGUGUAGUUUGGGUAAUAGGGAAGUAGCGGGGAGCCUUCUUAAGGUCCAAGGCGGAGAACCAACCAAUGGAGUCUCCUGGAAUCUGGGAAAGAAUUGUGCAGUGUUUGGAUCUGCCGCUAGAGGGUGGGGUAGAGUUACUGCCUCGGUGAGGAGCCGGAGGUCUUCCACACCCAGGCUUUGACCUCCGGGAGAAUGCGGAUGUUGCAGGGAGACUGAGAAAGUCCAAGAAGCCCACAUUUAGGAAAUCCGUCUGCGAGGCUGCAGACUUGUAUGUGCUGUUCUUUGACAGGAUAUUAUUGUCUUCAGGGGGGAAAUCGGCUGGGAUCUUCUAGCUUUAACUAUGAGUGGUGCUGAUUUUGCACUUCUGGGGAUUCUGUGGUGCCAGGCAGCAGGAUCUACGUGUGACUAAGCCAUCUAGGGAGCUUUUACACAGUCUCAAAAGGCAGAACUCGCUUUCACCUCUGCCAGUAUUGAAGAGCAGCCCCUACUUUUAAUAAGUCUCCUCCCAUAGGGGAGUAGGGUGUCAUGGGACAAUUAAGAAUUCCUGGUUAAACGCUUGAUCUUCCAGGUGGCAGGUCAAAGCAGGAGUAAAGAAACUGCCUGAGGUUUCCUUCCUCCACAAUGACGGCUCCAGACUUACAGGAGAGUUUGGUUAAAACAUGUAAGCUGCCCCCAUAAAUGAGGAAACAGGUUUGCUCACCUAUGAUGCCCAUGGCUCCCCAGAGUUCAUUGGAGGUGAUGGAGAUGUUUUCAGACUGGACACUGCAGACUGCCCCAGGCUCCCUCAGUGCUGUCCACACUGAGUUCCCUUUAGAGUUUUGGUUGGUUGCAUCCCUCUCUGGGGACUGGAGCAUUGAUCCUCCAAUUGCCUAAGUGAAAAGCAGCAUCUCGACCUACUGGGUUAGGCCAGUGUGUUCCGAUUGAACCGUCUCAAGCCCAGGGACCAGUCUUCUUAUGUUUAAAGCCAGAGCCUUGAGCCGGGAAUUUAACUCAGCAACAUAAGUGCCUGGCAAGCACAAGGUCAUGAAUUCAUGAGUUCAAUCCCUGGUACCAAAAGAAAAAAAGAAAAAGCCAGAGCCUUGUUCUUGCCCCAAGUUUUAUCUUUGGACAGCUUGGGCUUUGGGUCUGGCUAAUUGCAACAAAUACCAGUUUUGCCUGCCUCUGAUUUUGGCUCCUCUCUCCCUUUUCCUCUUCUAGAUCCCAGUUGUUGAAAACAGAAAAGGUCAUAGCCAGCUCUUGGACCAAUCUCUGGGUCCCAUUUGUAACUUUGUAGCUUCUACUAAACAUGGGGUGAAGUAACUUAUGUAAUGUUGUCCCUCAUGUGAGAGCCCUUCCCUCCUAUGAGGGAAUCAUGUUUUAAAAAGCGUCCUCUAGCCAGCUCUGAAGGAUGGCUGGGUUUUUUUGUGGGGUUUUUUGUUUUUUGUGGUACCAGGGAUCGAACUCAUGACCACACACUUGCAAGGAAGGCGCUUAUGCCGCUGAGCUAAAUCCCCAGCCCCAUGGCUGGGUUUUCUUUUUCUUGGACAACCUCUCUGAUUCUUCUCAUUUACUUGGUUUUGCGCUGCUCGUUCUUUGUGUCUGUGACAAGGGCUGGAUGAUUUUGGCCCUUUGCAUCCUUCCUCCCACUGUAUUGUAACCCCCGUUGGGCUCCAAGGCAGGCACUGUGCCCUUGCUUGGGCUGAUUUCUCUCUGCACUGUUAGCAAAUACUUCACUGUCGCGGCACUGGGCUGUUUCUAAUAGUCUUUGUUUCUCAGUUGGGGUGCAGCAGGUGGCUGAAACAAAUUUACAUCAUGCCAAAACAGAACAACAGCCGAGGAUAAAGUCUGAAACUGUUCUGUGCACCUAGAAGAAUCGUCAGAAAAUUAGCCUGAGUGCUCCUUGUAUUGUUGGGUAUCUGCAGCUGAAAAGGAGACUGAGACAAUUCCUUCCACUGCGGGAUCUCUCCCAAAAGCAGGCCAGGUUGUGAACUGGGAGAUAAGAGGCUACAGUCAGUGGGGUUUGAGGCUAUCUUUGAAGGAGAAGGCUGAGGGCUUUAGGUUUCUCUGGGGAGCUGGCUGCAGAUGAGGUUUCUGAGUGACUUGUGGAAAGUGGUACCAGUACACUGACCUUGAGACUAUAAGGCAAAGUUGAGAGAGUCACCCUUGGUACCCUGAGAGACAUGUGAUGGACUAAGAGGAGAUCCUCAGUAAAAUCACUCUCUGGCUCAGGAAUUAUCUUACUUUUCUCUUGCUGGGACAACAUACCCAACACCCAAAAGUCAAGAAGGAAAGAAUUUGUCCCCUUACCUCCCGGGUCACUUCCCAAUAUAAUGUUAGCAGAUCCCAAUACAAUGUUAGUGAACAGAGAAUUGAUCGGGACACUGAAAAGGAACAGCAAGAUCAAAGAUUUCCUAAAAGCCAGAGUAUACGCCCCGGGGUAGCAAUGCCCACUGAGGAGACCUCCGGCCCUGAGGAGAUCCAGGUUGAGGAUGUGAAUGCUACCCACCCUGGAUAAAAUUUAGGGGGUAGAAAGGACUCUAGUCAUCCCUUGUUGGUUUCUUACCUUCUGUCUAGAACUGUUUCUCUUCUGCAUUGCCUGUCUGCCAUGCCAUCUUGCCUUGGAUGGACAGCCCAUUAUGGACUGAAAUCUUUACAAACUAUGAGCUAAAUAAGUAUCUCUUCCUCUAACUUUGGGUGUCAGGUAUUUUAUCUCAGCAACAAAAAAAGUAACUAAAACAGUACCUAACCUAAUUCCCCUCCCCAAAAAAAACCCUAUUAUUGCACAAUUUCACAUGGCACUGUGUUUUAGGAACAGGUAUGUUGUAUUUCAUAAAAAAACUGACCACACAUAUAAAAAAAUUAGCGUAUGGUCAAAUUGCAACAUCAGCUGCUACUAUUGAUAUUAUUAUUAUCUAACCUCUAGUGAAGAAGACUUGUCAUUUUUGCAAAGCUCUUUGCCAAUUAUAAAUUCAUCUAUAUCCUCAUGCUCUAUGCGUGAAUUAUAUUACAUUAUUAUAUUUACAAGAAUGUAAACCAUGAGAAGGUCCAUAGUUUUCCCAAGAUCACAAAACCCAGCCUUGACAGAUACCUAAAAAUCUAUUUCUUGCCUUCAAACUUGUUAAGAAAAAAUAUAUAGGUAUUAAUUCUGAAUCUGCAUCCAAACCGGGUACAACAACAUGGAUGAAAGACCAGGACCAGGAGAGUCAAAGCAGGAAGAGAGCGUAUUUUAGUCAUGAAAGAAUUGAAUUAGGAAUGUGAGGAAGAAGGGGGUCAGAAAAAGAAAAUUACAGAAUGGAGACCAAUUAGUGAAUACAAAGAGUCUCACACUCAUGUCUACAAAAGCUAAACAAGUAACAGGAAGGAGUAAAGUGCUUCAGAGGUGAAUGAGAGGGAGUAGCAGGGACUGUGAUAUACUCAGGUCUCACCCAAAGGGACAGACUCCAGUGAGCUCAGUCCAACUCAUGCUUGAGGAAAUUUAGCAUCUAAUUAUCUUUCUGAGCACAGAAAAUUGAAGGGGGGGGGGGGGUUUUUUACCAGGGAUUGAACUCUCGACCUUGUGCUUGCCAGGCAGGUGCUUAUACCACUGAGCUAAAUCCCCAGCCCAAAAUUGAAAUUUUUAUGUGAAAUUUCUAAGUGUUUUUUUUUUUCAAGUUGUGAGUUCUUUAAACAUUGAUGGUUUGUUAUAAACUCUUUAAAUGCUGCUCAAGCCAAGGUAGCAGUUGCAGGUCAGCUAAUACGCAACCUUUAGUACACUGAAAGGUGAUUCCCCCAACCUACAGCCCCAUGCAAAGAAGUCUUAACACUGAUGGACACAAAAUAUGUUAUUUAAUGUCAAUUUCUGCAAAGACACAUUUAAGCAACAAAAUAUACAUUUGUCAACCUUUUAGAAUUUGUUUUAUACAUUAACAAAUACAGUGUGCUACCAUAGCAAUAAAUUAAAUAUACACUAUUUACAUUACAUAGGCAGUCAGGGUCUACGAUUCACCUCCUCACUAAGAGGAAGAAGGAAAAGUCAUCGUCACAGGGAUCACUUCCAAGCUACACUUCUUGGGUUCUAUCACACAGGAAUCUCUUCACACAGAGACAGUAGCACUCCCCCAGCUGGAGUGUUAGAAGGUAACACCCACGACAAGGGAGAGUUGGCACACAUGCUAACGAGGAGGAAGAGGAGUUUCACCCGUCUAAGCAGAAAUGUCACAAAAUCAAAAAGGAUGGCAAUGAGGUUCCAGCCUGUCAACCAAGCACCCUCUCCCCUGGGCUGGGAAGGCAAAGGACAGAGCUCUACCUGCCAGCCUCUCACCAGACAGGGCUCUGCUGUCCUCCACCCUCGGGGACUUGUCUUCUUCCCAAGGGAGCACUUGGCCCUCUGAAAGGAGAGGGAUGUGAGGUUGGAUGGAAAGGGACUAAUGGCAAAGAGGCUUGGAAGAAAAAUGCCCCUCAGUGCCUCUCACCAGACUACAAGAACAGCACAGCAAACUUCAGUGACCAAUCCUUGCCUUUGACAAGGGGGCAGCUGGAGACUGGGGUAGGAACCAUGAGGUCCUCAGUAUGGCAGACGGGCCUGGUCCCUGCCAUCCCUUUGAGCCAUAAGAUCUACUUGAGCCCCCUUCUACUCCCCAGCAACAGACCAGUCUCUAUUGACUAAGAUACACUGGAAAAGGUAGUGUUUGAGCUGGCACCUUCAUGGGUCAGGAUAAGGAAAGUGAAAAGGUUACAUCCCACUUUGAUUAUCCACCUUCAUUUUAGAAUCAGGAAGAGGCUGGGGGUAAAGCUCUGUGGUAGAGGCCUUGCCUAGCAUGCAUGAGGCCCUGAGUUCCUUCCCCAGAACCAGAAAGGAGUGGAGGAGAAUCAGGGUAAAAUGAAUAGUUUCUUUUUACCACCUUCCAUUGUAAUUUAGAACAAGGAGGCCAAUCGUCUACCGCACCUUUGCCCUGACCUCUGCCCCUGAGGAACUAAGGGGUAAUUUGUCAGAAAUCCCUUCCCUCCCUGUUUUCUUUGUUUAAGUUGCAACCCAAAUCCAGGACCUUUGGUGACCAAUCUAAAAGAGCCCCCACCCUCUCUGGAAAACGGCACAGCCUGAGGUCCCACGACCACGAGGCCCCUGCUAAUGAGGGAGGAACUCGGGCCCAGGAAAUGAAGUCACUGGCUCUACCAACUAAGCAGCUGGUGCAGAAGAAAAAGCCUUGGGUUCCAGCCCAAGUCGUGCCACUAGCUAGCUGUGUGACCUCAAGCAAGUUCUUUUUUCUCACUGGAGCUAAGGUUUUAUAUCUAGACAACAACAGGCAAGAGGAGAGACACUAAAAUAAGCCAGAAGGUCUGGGCAUCAGGAUGAUGCUCACAAAACUGAAUAUGUUCCAGGAAACACUGCUUGACAUUCAUUACCAAGACGGAAACUCUGGCUAAGACCUGGCACCUCAAGCUUUUCUGAAUCUGCUUUUAAACAUCGAUGGAGCUGGAGGCAUCUGGGUGCCCCAUUGUGCCUGGAAAGUGGCCUCAGGGGCAGAGACAUGAACCUCUCGAGAAGGUCACAUUGGAAAUGCCCCAGAUAUAAUUAUGAGCACCAUCUAUGCAGGCCUGAGCCCUAUGACUAAGUGCAGCAAUCAAAGGAAAGAUAUUUUGGAUCAGAGUAUGGGGGUUGAAGCCCUCUAGGAAUGUGAGAUGCUGCCCACAGCCCAGAAGAAUGAAGGGACAAAGGACCUCACCCUCAUUCUCCUCCCUGUCAGCAUGGGGACCCCAGGCAGGCUGGCAGUGCACACACGGAAACCACAGGAUGGAUUUGCUAGAGAUGGUGAGGCAUGACCCAGAGAAAGGGGGCAUAUCAGGUCCUGUCUUGAGCACCCCAACAGCAAACCAAGAGUGCAGACCACACCCCAGGUCUGCGCCUCUGUGGGGCACAUUUGUGCCUCCCGGUUCCUCUGGACACACUCUGCCAUCCUGCCCACUGGCCUAGAGGUGCUACCAGGAGGUGGGGGCCGCACAGAGAGCGGCCAGAGCAGCGGCAACAGGAAAAUAUGACACUCCCCAGCAUGAGACAGCAUGAGAACAACUGGGAAGGCCCAGAGGACACCAGACCUUUAACGCAACAGCACAAGCACCGACCAUCUCUACACGCUGGCUUCUCAGAGCCACUAGUGAGCCAGAACCCGGUAAGAAUUUUCAAAGAAAAUACAGCUUGACCUUUUAAGUUACUUCAGAAACCCAGCCGACAGAACACUGCCAGAACAGCAGGCCCGAAUCCAGCAACGGGUGCCACUACACUGACAUUUAAUAAAAGCUAAGCAGAUAUUAUGUUGACCUUCUAACUAGAUAAAUCUGACCAAACUGGUACUCUAUGUAAGCACAUUUCUCAAACGGAGUGACAGGAGGGGUGCCCCCACCCCGGGCUGAAAGUAGGAUCCAAUAUAAGAAUGGCAAACAAUCACAACAGUGUCCCAUAGAGGAAAAAAAAAAAAAAAAGGCAAACAAAAUAUCAAGUUUGCCCUACUCGCAAAAGCAAUGGAGAAAUGGUUAGAAUAUAAGUCCAAAAAAACAUGUCCCAUUUCUAAGCUUUGGCUUGCUAGUCCAGACCCAGAACAGAGACAAGCAUUUGACUGGGAAUCUUGUCAUCUGUUCAUGGAAGCAGGGAGUCCGGCCUGCAGCACCCCAGAAGCCCUGCCCCAAAGAUACCUAUGUACUUGAGGCUGGAAAGCCUCCAGAGAUCUGCUGGUAAGACUCUGUGUUUUACUUGGCAGACACCCCACCCUAAGCCAGGAACAGAAACGCCCUGCAGACUUGGACAGGCAACUGGCUCAUCAUCCCGGAGAAGGUGGCACUGGUAAGGGGUGCAGGUGGCGUGCAGGGUCUGAACCACAGCCAGAUGGUGCCCGGCUUGCAAGAGUCCUACUGAUGUGACAGCCGCCUACAGGCCUGCAGUUGGAGAGGGAAGUGAAGGGCCAGAGGAUCAUGCCCCAGACAGUCAAAGGGCACAGAAGUGAGUCGUGGCCCCCAAGGCAGCCCUGCCCACUUCCCAGCAAAGCGCAGACACUUGAUAGGGGACAUCAUGUCCCUCCCCACAUGCCUAAGUUCAACCCCAACACAUUGGCCUGACUAGAACCUGCCAGGCCAUCCCCCUUCGUUCCUUUUCCCUCUUCGAUAAAUGAGUGGUUUACCAUUUAUGUCUUCCCUGAACCUCUACAAACCUGAGACCCGGAUCCGCGCAGCGCCCGGCUGAGCCCCUGGGCCCUGAGGUUAUUGAGCAGUGACCCCUCCCAGCACUGGCUCAUUCAUUUUCCCUGAAUUCCUUCUUGCUCCUGACUUCCCACUCCUUCACAGGAAACAAUAUCUGCCUGAAGGGGAGUGACUUCCCGGGGCUUCUCCACAGCUAGGAUAACCAGAACCUGCCUGAAAUUAACCAGGAUGGAAAGUUCCAGUUAGUUGGGGAAGUGAGCAGCAAUGGUCUCCGACACACCAGCUCUGUCUAGAGCCUCCAUCUGUGAGAGUCUGGCUCCGGGUACGCAGACAGCGGAAUGGAGCAGCCCACAGCCUGGGCCGACAGAUGGGUCUAAAGUACUCAGCACAGAGCAGGAAGAUGUUUCAGAGCUCCAGAGGAACAGGAUCAAAGGAGCUGUUUCUAUCAGGACAGCCUGGAGGACGCUACAGAUUUUGGUUCUGGGGACGCAGCCCCUGCACCUCGGCUCCACACACGGGUGGUGGUAAACCUCCUUCCUACCCUGCCCAGGAGGGCACUGCAUGUGAGCAAGGACCGAUGGGGCCACCUUAUUAUCUGCUGUCACCUUUCCUCCCCACCCACCACUCUCUGCCUCUGAAGCAGACAAGCUCCCCCAUCUCUGGCUGAGCCCCAGUACCUACAGCCCCCUGAUCCCCAACUGUCUUUCCUGCAGACAAAACAAGUGGGCAGAUGAUCCACACAGACACCACGAGGGUCAGGAGCAGAAUCGCCUCCGGGAAAAAGUCUUGUCCAGAGAUGAAGGUAUGUUGGCAAAGGACCCAGCAGGACUGUCACUAGGUUAGGACACAGGACAGACAGCUGGUCUGGUGGGCCUGUGACGAUCAGAGUAGUGGACGGCACCCCCAAGCUGCUGGAAUAAGAGCCUUCUGCCAGACAGAGUCGGGGCUUCCCUGGAAGAGAAGGGAAGGGGACAAUGAGCAAAGAAAGGGGGAAACACACUCGAGACUAAGGGCUGGGCACACAGUGACUACACUCAGAUGAGAACGCCAAACACAAGGAAGUCCAGCUUCACUCACAUGGUCCCAGAAGUUGGGCAUAAGCAACACCUGGGCAAACAGAGGCACACAAAGUCCAUGACGGACGGUGGAGGUGAAUGCAGACAUCCCAUUUUCUCUUGUUUUUUCAUAACCCAUUUCACAUAAAGUGAGCUCAGCCAUACCCUUCCCCUUGGACCUGACUGGGAGUCCCAGACCACUGGGAGUCCCAGACAGGGAGAGUUGGUGGGAUGAGGGGGGAGUCAGACAGUCCUAACUUCAUGAGCAGUUUUGGCCAUAAUAGCAAGUGGACUCGUCCUGUCCUGCUGGAACCACAAGCCCCCUGGGUGGAGGCCAGGAGCAGAGGCCUCCCUGGGGCUGCUCUUACAGUCCUGGGGGCAGGGGUACACUUUGGCAUGUAGGAGGGCACAGUUCAGCCUACAGCCUUGAUCAAAGACACAAGAAGGGAGGGAAAGAGAAGGAGGUGGGCCCUGGGCUGCCUCUCCUGCCUGCUGGAACCAGGGUCACCCAGUGAGGGGAGACCUAUACAUAACGAGCCUCCCCAAUCCCACAGGAAAUACUCUCUGUCACACCCACAGCAUCAGCCCUUUUUUCCCCCACAGACCUGGGGAGGCUUCAGGGGACCCCUCCCCCAGUUGGCAGGGUCUCUCUGGCCAUUCUCAGGUCAAAAGGCCCCUGAUAUCAUGCUCUCCCUUGAUGAUCACCCCAGGACAAGCACUCACUCACCUUGGACAGGAGAAGAAUUCUUCAUUCACAUUAAUGACCCUGUUUCGGGAAAUAGCUGUAUGAGUUUUAAAUGCUCAGACAAUAAUCUGCUUGAUACUCAGCUUCCCUGCACUCAAUUCUCAACAAUCUGGUGACCUCAAGAAAGCUCAGGGAGCUACAAAAUCAUGACUCACAGGUGGGCACAGCUGUGCCCAAUGGUGUAGCUGUGAUGCACUCAGAGUGCCAAAGCCAGCAGGUCAGCCCCUGGCAGGUAUCUCCACCACACAGGGACAGAAAGCAUCACCCCCAGAUCUGUCAGAGCUGUCUUCUCGCUGCCUCCUUCAGGGGACCCCCGUGUGAUAUCUGAGAUGUGCUCCCCUUGCAGCCUUCAGGAAAGCAUCUUGGCUCAGGAAGAGCCUGGAGUGAGGAGCUGCCCACACCUGGUGGUCCUUACCCCACUGGAACUGGCAUGGCUGAGCUUGUCAAAGCGGAAUUUCAGGUUUGAUCUCGGGGAAUUUCUGCUUUUGGCAUCUAAAAAAAAGAAGAAUGCCUGUGAAAAGGAGGUGAAUCAUCCUAGCUGAAUAGAGUGGUGGCAAGAAGGGGAUUCCACCUCUCCUCAAGGCAUGUUAACCUAGAUUAGCAAUGUCUUACGACAUUGGCUGCUAAACACAGGUCAUUUUAAAAAAUUAAACUUAUAGGCUUAUAAGUAGAUAGGUUAUAUUCAAAGAAGAUAAUGAAUACUCAAAAUUCACUUUCUCAUUAUUUACUAAGUUUACUUUUGUGUGUGUGUGUGCUGUGCCAGGGAUCAAACUCACGAGCUCCCACUUGCCAGGCAGGCACUUACACCACUGAGCUAAAUCCUCAGCCCCAAGUUUACUAUUAUUAUAUGUUCUCUUCUGUUUGCAGUAUCCAUAUGGCAAAAAUACCCUAUGAGAGUGGCUGUGUAUCUGUUGCCAGGAGUGACAUCAGCUACUAUAGGAGUAUUUAUACCACAAAAACUGUCCAGUCCUACAAAUCAGAGCUUGACUUAUAAUCUGUGUCUAGACUUAAGAAACUAUGGAGAAAAUAAUAAUGUGGGUUAAACUUUAAAAUUACUGUGUAGCACCGUAUGAUGCUGUAUACCUGUAAUCCUAAGGAGGCUGGAGCAGAAGGAUCACAAGUUCAAGCCCACUCUGGGCAAUUCAGCACCUUUGCAAGACCUUAGGGGGUAGCUCAGAACAAAGAGUCUAGGUUUGAUCCCCCUUACUACACAAAAAUUAAAACAAAAUUUAAAAAGUGUUGUAACUGCAGCCAUUACAUUGUGAACAACAUCAAGAAACAGUAAAUAUUCCAGUAUUUGCAAAACAUCCUCCAACUCAGCAAAGAAGUUGCUCACGUCACCCACACAGGAAUAAAGCUCUUAGUAGAAAAUAUUCACUUUUAUAAGUUACAUUAAGCAACAUUCACAUCAGAACCACAUCAUGACCUACAACCUUAAGCUGGCUAUGGUACAAAAGUUAAGAGAAAUAUCAACGGAAGUGUCUUGUGAAAAUCAACUGGAUGUAUGGGAUUUACAAUGAAGAAUAUUGUUUUUUAUCAUUAAGCUGCUUUAGAUUCAUUACAUUAGUAAAAUUUACAGUAAGUGUGUGUAUACAUGUGGGUAUACAGCAGAGGGAGCCCUUUUUAUCACAAGAAGUAUUUUACUGAUUUAUUAUAUACUACCUUUGCAGUACAUGAAGUUUACAUAUAUCUUGGAGAAUGGGUACAUGCUCAUAAUAUGGCUUAUUUCUGUUUUUUAGAAUCCCCUUCCCGCCCACCUCUCUCUCUCUCUAUCCUCUUUCCUCAUUUUCAAUCAUUAUUAUUUUUACUCAUGUACAUAAAACACAGUAUUUACAUUCAUUGAGACUAUUAGGUUCCUGUACACGGCAUGACUUAAUCUACUUACUUCCCCUUCCCCCCACCAGCACCCUCGUUCUCCUGGACUGCUCAUUUGCAAAAGAUCUACCCCACCUCCUACCCAUCCCUUAUUAUGCUCUUUGUUUAUACUUUGCCUUGCUCAAAUGAAAGAUACCAUACAGUAUUUAAGCUCGCGUAUCUGGUUUAUUUUACUCAACUCUGUAUUUUCCAACAAAGCUUUGUAAAUGGGGAGAGGAGGAAAGGUUUAAGGAGGGUAAAAGAAUGCACAAAAUAAAAAAGCUAUAUCAGUGUUUCUUUGAUGAAUAUGAUCAUUGUGCAUAUCUAAAAUGUAUCAAUAAAAUCAAAUCUUUAAAAAAUUA